Molecule: non-coding RNA, 72 nt
Organism: Potamilus streckersoni
Lineage: Eukaryota; Metazoa; Mollusca; Bivalvia; Unionida; Unionidae
Source: the annotation of a GenBank genome assembly
GCUCUAGUGGCACAGUGGUAAGAGCAUCCACUUUGGAAGCGGGAUUUCGCGGAUUCGAACACCGGCAGAGUA